RNAcentral lists this long non-coding RNA (1739 nucleotides) under Triticum aestivum (bread wheat). Its description in RNAcentral is "long non-coding RNA (TAES_LNC002176)". Lineage: Eukaryota; Viridiplantae; Streptophyta; Magnoliopsida; Poales; Poaceae. The record is from RNAcentral.
AACAACCCAUGUAAUACAAUAAGGGAAAAGAUACAUAGUUGGCUUACAAUCGCCACUUCACACAAAUACAAGAAUAAAGCAUUACAUCAUCCAGAUACAAUCAGGGCCCGACUACGAAGCCAAAAUAAAAGAAGACUACCCCAAAUGCUACACAGAUCCCCGAUCGACCCCAACUGGGCUCCACUACUGAUCAACUAGAACGAAAAAAUACAAAGGACAAGAUCUUCAUUGAGCUCCUCCUUGAGCUCGGUUGCGUCAUCUGCACGGUAUCAUUGGCACCUGCAAACUGGUUUUGGAAGUAUCUGUGAGUCACGGGGACUCAGCAAUCUCACACCCUCGCGAUCAAGACUAUUUAAGCUUAUAGGUAAGGUAAUGGUAUGAGGUGGAGCUGCAGCAAGCGACUAGCAUAUAUGGUGGCUAACAUACGCAAAUGAGGGCGAGAAGAGAAGGCAAAGCACGGUCGAACAACUAUGAUCAAGAAGUGAUCCUAGAACAACCUAUGUCAAGCAUUACUCCAACACCGUGUUCACUUCCCGGACUCCGCCGGAAAGAGACCAUCACGGUUACACACGCGGUUGAUGUAUUUUAAUUAAGGUUAACUUCAAGUUUUCUACAACCGGACAUUAACAAAUUCCCAUCUGCCCAUAACUGCAGGCACGGCUUUCGAAAGUUCAAAUCCCUGCAGGGGUGUCCCAACUUAUCCCAUCACAAGCUCUCAUGGUCAACGAAGGAUAUUCCUUCUAGCGGGAAGACCCGAUCAGACUCGGAAUCCCGGUUACAAGACAUUUCGACAGGUAAAACAAGACCAGCAAAGCCGCCCGAUGCGCCGACAAAUCCCGAUAGGAGCUACACAUAUCUCGUUCUCAGGGCACACCGGAUAGGUCAAGCUACGAGUAAAACCAACCCUCGAGUUGCCCUGAGGUGGCCCCGCAGGCUGCCCGUUUCGGACCAACACUCAGAGGAGCACUGGCCCGGGGGGGUUAAAACAAAGAUGACCCUUGAGUCCGCGAAACCCAAGGGAAAAGAGGCUAGGUGGCGAAUGGUAAAACCAAUGUUGGGCAUUGCUGGAGGAGUUUUAUUCAAGGCGAACUGUCAAGGGGUUCCCAUUAUCACCCAACCGAGUAAGGAAUGCAAAAUCCAGGAACAUAACACCGAUAUGACGGAAACUAGGGCGGCAAGAGUGGAACAAAACACCAGGCAUAAGGCCGAGCCUUCCACCCUUUACCAAGUAUAUAGAUGCAUUAAUAAAUAAGAGGUAUUGUGAUAUCCCAACAAGUAAACAUGUUCCAACAAGGAACAACAUCUCCAUGUUCCAACAAGGAACAAAACUUCAAUCUUCACCUGCAACUAACAACGCUAUAAGAGGGGCUGAGCAAAGCGGUAACGUAGCCAAACAACGGUUUGCUAGGACAAGGUGGGUUAGAGGCUUGGUUCAACAAAAUAGGAGGCAUGAUAAGCAAGUGGUAGGUAUCGCAGCAUAGGCAUAGCAAAAGAGCGAGCAUCUAGCAAGCAAAGAUAGAAGUGAUUUUGAGGGUAUGGUCAUCUUGCCUGAAAUCCCGCAAGGAAGAAGAACGAGUCCAUGAAGAAGACAAACGGACGUAGUCGAACGGUUCCUCACAAACGCGACGUUAUCGGAACCAACCCGAAGAAGCAACACCGGAAAAGAGCAAACAACAUAGUAAACAACCACCACAUAAGCAUGGCACGAUGCGCAAACAAGUAUGAUGCAUGUCCGGUUU